Molecule: long non-coding RNA, 318 nt
Organism: Octopus sinensis (East Asian common octopus)
Lineage: Eukaryota; Metazoa; Mollusca; Cephalopoda; Octopoda; Octopodidae
Exons: 3
Source: RefSeq, a predicted model, not a curated record
GUUGAGUGGGCACCACAGUCACUGGACUUGACCCCUCCCAGAGUUUUAUCUGUGGGGGUAUCUCAAGGAUAAUGUUUACCAGAAUAACCCUCAAACGAUUGGUGAACUGAAGGCAGCAAUCACAGCAGAAAUCAGGGAAAUCUCCAAAGAGGAAUGUGUUCAAGUAAUUGAUAAUUUUGCAAUGAAUGGUUUGACGAAAAUUUAACUGUCUCUAUUUUAUUUAUUAGAAAUUAAUUUUUAUAGUGAAAAAGCUUUAAUUAUUUAAAGGGACGAAAAGACCCUAUUGAGCUUUUAUUAUUAUUAAAUUAUUUAGUUAUA